RNAcentral lists this unclassified non-coding RNA (286 nucleotides) under Bombus terrestris (buff-tailed bumblebee). Its description in RNAcentral is "misc RNA ENSBTSG00005037764.1". Lineage: Eukaryota; Metazoa; Arthropoda; Insecta; Hymenoptera; Apidae. The record is from RNAcentral.
AAUCUGCAAUGUUUGAAGAUCUACGAUCAGUGAUACGAAAAAACGGAAACAUACAAACUGUAGCAUACAUAGUUUUAAAAGCAUCGCGAAGAUUCUCGUCAUUCAUAAGCAUGUACACACUACAUAGGCACUAUACACACGCUUCUGGGUAAAACGCAAAGAGAAUUUCAUGGAAGAAACCAAAAGAGGAGUACGUAUUUAGCCGCAGCUGCGGUAAAUAAUGUCGCUAAAGCCCGGAUCUUAUUUGAUGAAUUAAAUCGCCACUGUCAUUAAGCCCCAUUUCGCG